Phalaenopsis equestris is the source of this 2242-nucleotide RNA transcript. RefSeq lists it as uncharacterized. The transcript has 2 exons. The record is from RefSeq and is a predicted model, not a curated record. Lineage: Eukaryota; Viridiplantae; Streptophyta; Magnoliopsida; Asparagales; Orchidaceae.
CGUUCUAAGCCCUAAUUCGUUCAUAAAUACCAGUCUGGAGGAAAGCUAGGUUUGAAAAAUCGAAGUGCUUGCAAAUCUAUUUUCUUUCCCCGCUCUCUUUACCCUCUUCUUUCGGACCUUCUGCUUGCAAAAUGUCUGCCGCAUCCGAACCGAGAUCUAAAGCGCCUUUGCUGCCGACGACAAGCAGCUUCCAGCAAUCGACCUCUACGUCCGAUCGUUUCUAUACGCCGGCGUUAGCUUCAUCGGAAACGCCUUCCUCCUCAUUUUCAUCCUUCUCCGCCCAAUCGUCAACCUUCUUCCCGCGCCCCAUCCUCCCCACUCGCGUAAGCAUCGUUGGAUCCUUCCCACAGGUCCCCUCCGUUCGAUUCGCUAUUGAACGACCCACCUCACCUGGUCGCUCCAUGUCCGCCAUUACUAGCCAUGAUCGGAUCGUUCGCCCUUCUCUGUCUUCCUCGGCUGGCCGCAAGAUCUGCACGUGCUCGCCAACGACUCAUCCGGGAUCCUUCCGCUGCAGCCUCCACAGGGGUCUCAAUCAUCAACAAGCAGCGGCAUCCGUAUCAUCGCCGUCCAAUCGACUAAACGCCCGCCGAUCUGCGAUGACAAACUCGCUUGUCCGGAUUGGGACAGUUGAGGGCGAAUUGGUCAAAAGGGCCCUCUCGGCGCUAAUCCGCCCUUCCUCGCAUCAUCAGCGAAGGAGAGCAGACUUCCAGCCCCGGCCAAGUCGGCUUUCUAGGAUGUCCAAUGCUGACGAUCUUAUGAUCGUUGUAGGAAGGAACUGAAGAUCUUGAUGCAGGUCUGUUGAUAUUCACAAAAAAGCAUAACACGUUACCUCACCACUCUUCACUGCCGAUGUCAGUGUCUUCGAUUUUGUUUCCAUACUGAUUUUCUUUAUUGUAACGUGAGGAGGUAAGCAGUAGCGAUGGCGGAACUGGUCAAAUCCGUCAUAUAUUGUACAUAGUUUUCUAUAGUAGAUAUUGAUGGAUGUGCAUCCAGAUUUUCAGAGAACGAGAACUUGGAUACAUUGGACGCCAACUAAUUUCGUAGAAAUUGUUUCGAAGGCAAGAAUCCCUACAACAAACAUCUCCCGUCGACGUCGACGUCGCCGCCGUCGAUUCGUACGUGUUUUCAGUUGUCACGAUCGGUAUACCUCGGAACCGUUUCAGUUACAUACGGUAUGUAAAAAGAAAAAAGUAACUUCCUCAUAUAACAUAGGUGCGUAAAUUGAACCUCAUAUUUGCUCCCACUUAAAAGGAAGAUUAUUAUUGUUAUUUUUUUUAUUCAGCAUUAAUUUUUGGGAAAUUUACAUUCAGAGCUCCUAAUUUUAUGCAUUCAUUUAUCUCCCACCCAAAAUCUUAUUUUUACGAUUCAAUCACUGAACUUACCCUUUUUCACGGCUAUCUAACUGACUGAACUUCACUUUUUCACGGCUCUCGAACAGUGAAAUCCAUAUUUUUUGUCUAUUGGUAGGGUACUGGUUUUAUAAAAAUAAGAGUUUGGGUGAGAUAGAUAAACACUCAAGAAUUGGGUGCUGGGUAUGUAAAUUUCCGUUAAUUUUUUUAUAAAUUGUGAGGGUCUGAGUUUCAAGUUAUUCAUUGAACAAGUGCAGAUGGAAUCGAACAAGUGCGCACAUUAACACAUUAAUUCAUAUUAUUUUUAAAACUUUGAUUAGAACUCCUUAAAAUAUUGAUAUUGAAACGAGGUUCAAGAUCUGUCAUAUUUGGUCUAAAUUUGUAAUUAUAUUUAUGAUUAAAUUCGCUUAUGUCAUCAAAAAUUUUUGAUGGGAUAAUUACAAAGAGCCCCCCUUAAUAUUGACAUUUGAUGCAUGCUAGUAAAUUCGCAGGAGGAGAGUGAUGAAUUAUUGUCGUAACAUUGUACAAAAAUCCAACACACACUUAGAUAGAUGUAACUAAAAACGACACCAAAAGUAUUUACUUUGAAAACCAAAAAAGGGAAAAAACCACGAGGCAUUGCCUGGUUGAAAUAUUUCACUAUGAGUUGUUGAUUAUAUGUACAAUCCUUUGCCCCACAAGCGGAAAAAUGUUAUAGAGUUUCUCGGGUUACAAUAUCUAUGUGUAAGAAGAAUUGCCGCGGUAGGCAGUGGGUGGCGGCGGCGAUGACCAAAGGCGUCCGUGGUGGCGACUACUUGAAGAGGCGGCGGUGAAUGCGACCUCGAGCGGAGGUCGUCAGAAGCAAAAAUGGCCGGAGGCGGCGGUGAAUGUGACCCAAGGCAGCGGCGGUCAGA